Molecule: non-coding RNA, 21 nt
Filed under: Arabidopsis thaliana (thale cress)
Lineage: Eukaryota; Viridiplantae; Streptophyta; Magnoliopsida; Brassicales; Brassicaceae
Source: RNAcentral
UGAAACCCUUCCUUCUUUCAC